This 607-nucleotide ribosomal RNA is filed under the name uncultured bacterium. RNAcentral's name for it is "bacterial SSU rRNA". It matches the Rfam family "Bacterial small subunit ribosomal RNA", at positions 11 to 631 of the family's 1533-position model. The record is from RNAcentral.
GUUUGAUCCUGGCUCAGGACGAACGCUGGCGGCGCGCCUAACACAUGCAAGUCGAACGAGCGAGAGAUAGCUUGCUUUCUCGAGCGAGUGGCGAACGGGUGAGUAACGCGUGAGGAACCUGCCUCAAAGAGGGGGACAACAGUUGGAAACGACUGCUAAUACCGCAUAAGCCCACGACCCGGCAUCGGGUAGAGGGAAAAGGAGCAAUCCGCUUUGAGAUGGCCUCGCGUCCGAUUAACUAGUUGGUGAGGUAACGGCCCACCAAGGCGACGAUCGGUAGCCGGACUGAGAGGUUGAACGGCCACAUUGGGACUGAGACACGGCCCAGACUCCUACGGGAGGCAGCAGUGGGGAAUAUUGCACAAUGGGGGAAACCCUGAUGCAGCGACGCCGCGUGGAGGAAGAAGGUCUUCGGAUUGUAAACUCCUGUUGUUGAGGAAGAUAAUGACGGUACUCAACAAGGAAGUGACGGCUAACUACGUGCCAGCAGCCGCGGUAAAACGUAGGUCACAAGCGUUGUCCGGAAUUACUGGGUGUAAAGGGAGCGCAGGCGGGAAGACAAGUUGGAAGUGAAAUCCAUGGGCUCAACCCAUGAACUGCUUCAAAA